RNAcentral lists this ribosomal RNA (293 nucleotides) under uncultured Pseudomonadota bacterium. RNAcentral describes it as "uncultured proteobacterium partial 16S ribosomal RNA". It matches the Rfam family "Bacterial small subunit ribosomal RNA", at positions 159 to 454 of the family's 1533-position model. Lineage: Bacteria; Pseudomonadati; Pseudomonadota. The record is from RNAcentral.
UGUGCUAAUACCGCAUAAUCUCUCAGGAGAAAAGCAGGGGAUCGCAAGACCUUGCGCUUUAGGAGCGGCCGAUGCCUGAUUAGCUUGUUGGUAAGGUAAAAGCUUACCAAGGCUUCGAUCAGUAGCUGGUCUGAGAGGACGACCAGCCACACUGGGACUGGGACACGGCCCAGACUCCUACGGGAGGCAGCAGUGGGGAAUUUUGGACAAUGGGGGAAACCCUGAUCCAGCCAUGCCGCGUGAGUGAAGAAGGCCUUCGGGUUGUAAAGCUCUUUCAGCCGGAACGAAACGGU